GGGGGGAGCGCUGGAUCUUGGGCUGUGUCCCCUGGCGCCCUGGGCUCCGGGUCCUGCGCUGCUGGAAUUGCGCUCCCGGGCCACGCAGCCCCCU
This 94-nucleotide microRNA precursor is filed under the name Canis lupus dingo (dingo). RNAcentral's name for it is "mir-8799 microRNA precursor family". It matches the Rfam family "mir-8799 microRNA precursor family". Lineage: Eukaryota; Metazoa; Chordata; Mammalia; Carnivora; Canidae. The record is from Rfam by way of RNAcentral.